This 301-nucleotide ribosomal RNA is filed under the name uncultured bacterium. RNAcentral's name for it is "partial 16S ribosomal RNA". It matches the Rfam family "Bacterial small subunit ribosomal RNA", at positions 509 to 807 of the family's 1533-position model. The record is from RNAcentral.
CAGCCGCCGCGGUAAUACGUAGGUGGCAAGCGUUGUCCGGAAUUAUUGGGCGUAAAGCGCGCGCAGGUGGUUUAAUAAGUCUGAUGUGAAAGCUCACGGCUCAACCGUGGAGGGUCAUUGGAAACUGUUAAACUUGAGUGCGGGAGAGAAAAGUGGAAUUCCUAGUGUAGCGGUGAAAUGCGUAGAGAUUAGGAGGAACACCAGUGGCGAAGGCGGCUUUUUGGCCUGUAACUGACACUGAGGCGCGAAAGCGUGGGGAGCAAACAGGAUUAGAUACCCGUGUAGUCCCUGUCUCUUAUAC